Ctenocephalides felis (cat flea) is the source of this 304-nucleotide long non-coding RNA. RefSeq lists it as uncharacterized. NCBI's taxonomy places the organism in Eukaryota, Metazoa, Arthropoda, Insecta, Siphonaptera, Pulicidae. The record is from RefSeq and is a predicted model, not a curated record. The transcript is spliced from 3 exons.
GUUCAUUUUCAUCGUGGCGAUCGCUGGAAGAAGACAACAAGACGUCCCUUCGCUGCCUGUGGAGAACAUGCUACAUGCGACCUGCGAGCCUCACCUGGUGCGGGUAGGUUUGCGUUUGCUGCUGCCAGAGUCCUUCAGUUUUUGUACGAACAUUGUUACUGUGACGCUCUGAAUGUGAUGAAAUCACAUGGAGGCCACAAGAUAUCAUAUCAAGCAAAUUGUUGAGUAUCGAAUGGCCAAUUAUAGAGUGAAAAUUGAACGCUGACUCACUUCACCGGGAAUCGCUCUGAAAAUAAUUUAAAAA